CUGUUUAUCAGCACAUCACAGAAGGAUGUGGUGGAACAAAAACAGACCAUUUUAAACAUGAUGCUGAGAAAAUUAAUACGACCACAGAAAAAGGUGUUAUGGGUGUCACAGGACUGACAACUGCAGUUUUUAUAGGUUACAAAUUACUUGCAAGAAAUCAGUAAAGCAUUUACUGCACAGUAUAAAACAAAUACGGUUGUGUAUUUCCUGUGAAAUGCUUAAUGGUGUACGAGACAAGAGACUAUAUCGAUUGCAGAAAAGCAAUAGCUGCAACAAUUGUCCACUUGUUCAAGACUAUUUUCACUCUAGGCAAACGCAUUGAACCACAUGCAUUCUGUUCCUGUGCAAUGAGUAUUAGCACACAUACAUCAGCCUCACACUCACUUUAAGAGCGCUACCCAGAAAUGAAGUAGUGGCAAGAAAGAAAUGAACGAUCUUUUGAAAAGUAAUGCUAAGGGAACAGAAUAUUUUACAAUGCUUGGUUAGUACUGCUUUAAUGUUGGAUAUUGGAGAGUCAUUUUUACUUGGUACUCUAGUUGUCUUAUAGCAUCUACGCUUACAUUACAUGUACUGAAGUUCAAAAAGACAACCAGAGUACCAAGUAAAAAUGACUCUACAAUAUCCAACAUUAAAGCAUUAAUGACUAUAUUGGACUGGGCAGCAAAGAGUUAAUAAACGUUCAUUUUAUCUGAAUAGCGUAGAUAAAACAAGGUACAAUAAAAUCACCCUGAUAUUAUUUGUUAAUUAUUAGUCACAUGCUUAAGUGCUUUUAAACAAAUGGAACCCCAUAUUGCGAUGAUAUGAUUGAUCCUAGAGAUCCCUAAAUAGCGAUCUGAUGUUUGCAGAACAGUUUUAGUUUGCUUUUUCAGUAGCUCAUAAAUAAGUGACUACUUUAAAAGCAGUGACAAAAAACAGCUUAUGUGGUUGAUGUUGCUUUCUGUUGAAAAAACGGAACUUCUGCUGCUUCUGCUUUUCAGUUUUAAAAAUAGGGAGUUUGACCAACAGUGUGAAACAGCCAUCAGUGAAGGACAGUCUGUUCAGUUCAACUAGAGAGAUUUCCAGUUUGGUUCUCUAAAGACACACAAGAACAUGAUUGCUACGGAAAAGUUGCUUCUGAUUUCCUGCCUUUUUCAAGGUAUAAUUUGCAAUGAAUUUAAAGUCUUCAUGCCUCAGCGUAUUAAACCCUUGAGCGGCUCCUGUGUGCUGAUUCCAUGUACAUUCACAAUUGAAGAGAAGUGUGAGAAGGAUAUGGUGGAACCGGCCAAAGGAAUUUGGAUGACUUCUUUUGAAUUCAAAGAUAUUGUAUUUGACUCCAGUAGAAAUGAUAGCGAGAAUACCCUGAAAGCAAAUCUACUUGGUAACGUGACUAUCAAGAAUUGCACCACAAUAAUACAUCAUUUAAAAAACAGUGAUUCAAAAAGUUAUUUCUUCAGAGCGGUACCUCCUAAAUACACCUUUCAUCAGAAUGUUUUGCUUGAAGUUGCAGACUCUCCGGACAGACCAGCGAUCAGCCCAUCGAGUGCAGUGAAGGAGGGAGCUCCCACGAAUUUAACCUGCACUGCUCCAGCCCCGUGCCCAAGAGGACCUCCAGCCCUGGUGUGGAGCGACACUCUGAACGGGAGUGUGGAGAUAGAGCAGGUUGAGCAGCAGGAUGGGACCAAGGCUGUAUCUUCUGUUCUGACGUUCACUGCCUCACAUCUGCACCACAACAAGGACAUCACAUGCACUGCGCAGUAUACAGUGGGGUCUGAAAGUAAAAGUGCUGGAGAAGUCUCGACUCUUCAUGUUCUCUAUUCACCGAAGAACACGUUGGUUUUAAUAAACCCUUCUGGUGAAAUACAUGAAGGAGGUCAUGUGACACUGAGCUGCAGCAGCAAUGCAAACCCAGCAGUGAGCCGCUACACCUGGUUUGAAGUGAAGGGAGAUAAUAUCAACGAGAAAAGUGCUGAACAGUACCUCACUUUUACUGACAUUAACCAGAGUGACAGUGGACUGUACUACUGUGAAGCAAGGAAUGAGCAUGGGGCAGAGAACUCGACAGCCCUGCAGCUGAAUGUAGCAUCUCCUGCAACUCCAUGUAUUUAUGUUGUCAUGGGAACAGCGGCUGUUCAGAUGUUAGCCACCAUUUUGGUUGUUGUAUUCAUAAUGAAAAGAAAGAGAAAGGUAAGUCUGGAUUUUUUCAUUUGCUCAGUUUUGCUUAAUACUGUGGAACUGGUUCUAUGUUCUAUUAGAAUAUAUGAACUGUUAAAAUACUAGGACAGCAGCUGUCUCUAUACUGUGAACCCCUUUAUAGACUCUUAAGUAAUAUUUGCAUUACAUUUAGUGAUGAGGAACAGCCAGUGAUUCUGUAGUAUUGUUAAGCUUACAGCUGUGGCCAAAAGUUUAGCAUCACCUAGAAUUUUAGGAUUGAGACAUCACUAAAAAAAAGAAAAAAAAACUACAUGAACAUAAUUUAGAUCUUUUAUUUUUUAUCAUGUAAUCAAAUAAUAAUCAAAUAUCUUUUAUCAUGUAAUCAAAAAAUACUACAAAAUGAUAUCGCAAAAACUCCACAGGAAGCCAUAAUAGUAGUAGAGUAGUAUUUUAUGUUAGAUUUCGAAAUGUCACAUUUUUGUCAGUUUUCCGUUGAGUAUAUGGCAAACUGCGAAGCGGUAUGUAGUUCAAUAUGUUAACGUAACAUUAUUCAGCAGGUUUCAUUCGACUUCAUGAAGCAAAAUUAGAUCAUUCUAUUGGGCGCUGCAAAACUUUUGCCCAUAGCUGUAUUUUAGUGAUUAAACUCAAAUAAAACUAAUAGCUUGCAAAUAAAAUGGUGUUGAAAUGGUUUUGAAAUCUUGGGUUGGAUUGUUUCUAUAGGCUGAGCAUCGUGGCAGAGAAAAUAACCCCUUUGGGGCUCUCCAGCUCUCAAACGCCGGUCAGAACUCAAAGGAUGAUGCUGAGGUCACUUAUGCUGCACUGAACACAUGAGCUGUUUCCUCAGACUAUGAAGAAAUAUGCAAGAAGUAACCAGGAUGGAAAUCUUUGCUCUAAUUGAUAAUGCUGGCGGCUGAUAAAAUUUACUGCCUUCAUUUUGUGAACAGUAAUGCUACUCUUUAGUCCUUCACUGUUUGCUUAGCUUUAAGAGGCUUUAUUGAACUGGAGCUUCAUUUAUGGCAAAAGAAUGCAAUUCUGUUUUAAAGCACAGAUAUAAAAAUGUGCAUCUCCAGUCAAAAUGUAUUUCACACAGUAUUUUUUAUUGUUUUUUUUUUAUUUCACAAUAUUGUAAAACCAAAAAAAAAGAUUUGAAUAUAUUUAGCAAUCAUGACCUGCUACAUAUAUUGUAUCAUCUGUAAAGUGUUCAAUAUGGUAGAUAAGUCAUCUACAAUACACUGCACUUUUUUUAACACAUAUUUUACAAUAUAUUCCAAUGUAUUUUAUGUUUCUUGAGGGGUGAUGUCUUUCUCAGUUUUAAUUUCAAAUAAAUAAUGAAACUUC
This is an RNA transcript of Acipenser ruthenus (sterlet), 3468 nucleotides long. It is a transcript of the gene named sialoadhesin, with no coding region annotated. The record is from RefSeq and is a predicted model, not a curated record. Lineage: Eukaryota; Metazoa; Chordata; Actinopteri; Acipenseriformes; Acipenseridae. The transcript is spliced from 8 exons.